Molecule: non-coding RNA, 201 nt
Organism: Pelobates cultripes (western spadefoot toad)
Lineage: Eukaryota; Metazoa; Chordata; Amphibia; Anura; Pelobatidae
Source: the annotation of a GenBank genome assembly
CCCCUUUAAAAAAAAACGCAGCCUCAGCAAGUGCUGCUGGGAGGAAGUGGUCACUUCCUCCCAGCUCACUCCACGUGGGAGGAGCGCACGCCGGUGAAGAGGGAGAGCCACGCCAACCCCUAUCAUUCCCAGCCACCUUCCUGCAAAGAAAAGGUAAGAAACAGGAGGGUGACUGAAAAAUGAGCUCUGUGUGUGUGUGUG